GACGAACGCUGGCGGCGUGCUUAACACAUGCAAGUCGAACGGAAAGGCCCUGCUUUUGUGGGCUGCUCGAGUGGCGAACGGAUGAGUAACACGUGAGUAACCUACCCUUGACUUUGGGAUAACUUCAGGAAACUGGGGCUAAUACCGGAUAGGAGCUCCUGCUGCAUGGUGGGGGCUGGAAAGUUUCGGCGGUUGGGGUUGGACUCGCGGCUUAGCGGCUUGUAGGUGCGGUAGUGGCUUACCAAGGCGAUGACGGGUUGCCGACCUGAGAGGAUGACCGGACAAACGAGAAUGGAGAUGGGGCACGGACGAAUCCGGUAGGCAGGGGUGCGGAAUAGAGCACAGUGGACGGGAGGCUGACGUAGAGAAGCCGCGUGCGGUAAGUGGGCAAUGCGUUAGGAAAGUACUUUGCGCUGUGACGAAGAGAGAGUGACGGUAACGGAAAAAGAAGCCCCGGCUAACUACGUG
RNAcentral lists this ribosomal RNA (468 nucleotides) under uncultured bacterium. RNAcentral's name for it is "partial 16S ribosomal RNA". It matches the Rfam family "Bacterial small subunit ribosomal RNA", at positions 28 to 507 of the family's 1533-position model. The record is from RNAcentral.